RNAcentral lists this ribosomal RNA (460 nucleotides) under uncultured bacterium. RNAcentral's name for it is "partial 16S ribosomal RNA". It matches the Rfam family "Bacterial small subunit ribosomal RNA", at positions 338 to 795 of the family's 1533-position model. The record is from RNAcentral.
CCUACGGGUGGCAGCAGUGAGGAAUAUUGGUCAAUGGGCGCGAGCCUGAACCAGCCAAGUAGCGUGAAGGAUGACUGCCCUACGGGUUGUAAACUUCUUUUAUAAAGGAAUAAAGUGAGGCACGUGUGCCUUUUUGUAUGUACUUUAUGAAUAAGGAUCGGCUAACUCUGUGCCAGCAGCCGCGGUAAUACGGAGGAACCGAGCGUUAUCCGGAUUUAUUGGGUGUAAAGGGAGCGUAGAUGGGUUGUUAAGUCAGUUGUGAAAGUUUGCGGCUAAACCGUAAAAUUGCAAUUGAUACUGGCCGUCUCGAGUGCAGUUGAGGUAAGCGGAAUUCGUGGUGUAGCGGUGAAAUGCUUAGAUAUCACGAAGAACUCCGAUUGCGAAGGCAGCUUACUAAACUGCCACUGACAUUGAUGCUCGAAAGUGUGGGUAGCAAACAGGAUUAGAUACCCCAGUAGUC